GACGUAGGGGGCCAGCGUUGUUCGGAAUUACUGGGUGUAAAGGGUUCGUAGGCGGUGUGGCAAGUCGGGAGUGAAAUCUCUGGGCUCAACCUCUGGCCUGCAUCCGAUACUGCCCGACUAGAGGUAGGUAGGGGAGAUCGGAAUUCCUGGUGUAGCGGUGAAAUGCGCAGAUAUCAGGAGGAACACCGGUGGCGAAGGCGGAUCUCUGGGCCUUACCUGACGCUGAGGCGCGAAAGCUAGGGGAGCAAACAGG
Molecule: ribosomal RNA, 253 nt
Filed under: uncultured bacterium
Lineage: Bacteria
Description: partial 16S ribosomal RNA
Rfam family: Bacterial small subunit ribosomal RNA
Source: RNAcentral